GCCCUUCCUUAUGUGGGUCCGAUUACCGGUGGACUCAGAGCAGGGACGGCCUUGUACUUAAAGGGAGUUGCUGGUACUACAGGUGAUCGGUUUUCAGUAAACUUCAAGACUGGCCAGGGUGACAAUGAUGAUAUUGCUUUCCACUUCAAUCCCCGAUACAACUCAAAUGUGGUCAUGAACACCUUCAGAAAUGGAGGAUGGGAGGCUGAGGAAUUUGGCCCUAACAACCCCUUCAAAAUGGGAGAAGCUUUUGAGAUUUUUUUUGUGUUCAAACCUGAAGGAUAUCUGGUAUAUGUGAAUGGCAAAGAGCACUAUCUGUUCAAACACCGUAUUCCAUUGGAAAAAGUCUCAGUGUUGAAUAUUGUUGGAGAUGUUGUGGUGAACCUUGCAGGCUUCAUACAA
Misgurnus anguillicaudatus (oriental weatherfish) is the source of this 402-nucleotide non-coding RNA. NCBI's taxonomy places the organism in Eukaryota, Metazoa, Chordata, Actinopteri, Cypriniformes, Cobitidae. The record is from RefSeq and is a predicted model, not a curated record.